GAAGAAGGGUUUCGGCUCGUAAAGCUCUGUUGUUGGAGAAGAACGUGCGUGAGAGUAACUGUUCACGCAGUGACGGUAUCCAACCAGAAAGUCACGGCUAACUACGUGCCAGCAGCCGCGGUAAUACGUAGGUGGCAAGCGUUAUCCGGAUUUAUUGGGCGUAAAGCGAGCGCAGGCGGUUGCUUAGGUCUGAUGUGAAAGCCUUCGGCUUAACCGAAGAAGUGCAUCGGAAACCGGGCGACUUGAGUGCAGAAGAGGACAGUGGAACUCCAUGUGUAGCGGUGGAAUGCGUAGAUAUAUGGAAGAACACCAGUGGCGAAGGCGACUGUCUGGUCUGCAACUGACGCUGAGGCUCGAAAGCAUGGGUAGCGAACAGGAUUAGAUACCCUGGUAGUCCAUGCCGUAAACGAUGAGUGCUAGGUGUUGGAGGGUUUCCGCCCUUCAGUGCCGGAGCUAACGCAUUAAGCACUCCGCCUGGGGAGUACGACCGCAAGGUUGAAACUCAAAGGAAUUGACGGGGGCCCGCACAAGCGGUGGAGCAUGUGGUUUAAUUCGAAGC
Molecule: ribosomal RNA, 559 nt
Filed under: Bifidobacterium longum
Lineage: Bacteria; Bacillati; Actinomycetota; Actinomycetes; Bifidobacteriales; Bifidobacteriaceae
Description: bacterial SSU rRNA
Rfam family: Bacterial small subunit ribosomal RNA
Source: RNAcentral